AUGGGGUAUUAUCUUGCCGACGUUAUCUAUCCUUCGUGGUCAACAUUUGCGAAGACCACCGAUAAUCCGAAAGGAAAUAAGCAAGCUAUUUUUUCCCAAGCACAAGAAGCAUGCCGAAAGGAUAUUGAGAGGGCAUUUGGUGUGUUGCAAGCUCAGUCUGCCAUUGUUCGAGAUCCGCUCGCUUCCGGGAUAAGAAAUCCCUCUUAA
This 207-nucleotide ribosomal RNA is filed under the name Triticum aestivum (bread wheat). RNAcentral describes it as "partial small subunit ribosomal RNA". The record is from RNAcentral. Lineage: Eukaryota; Viridiplantae; Streptophyta; Magnoliopsida; Poales; Poaceae.